RNAcentral lists this long non-coding RNA (3910 nucleotides) under Sus scrofa (pig). RNAcentral describes it as "lncRNA (ENSSSCG00000060958.1)". Lineage: Eukaryota; Metazoa; Chordata; Mammalia; Artiodactyla; Suidae. The record is from RNAcentral.
CAAGUAUAUUCCCCCAGCACCUUUUAUUCCAGCUUCUCUGUUGGACCUAGCUGAUACUGUCUCAAAACGCUCCUGUUUCUGCAUUUUUUAUGCCCCUCCUUUCUGGUCUUGAUUUAAGUUCUUUGAAGUAUUUCUAACUUGCACAUCAUAAGCAUCAAUAAUUCUUGAAUAAAAUUGAUGAGAACACAUUUGUAUCCCAGAGCACACCUUGUGGAGUGCUAAAUAUGCAGCUGUCAUUCAAUUAAUAGUUCUUGAUUGAUUAAUCUCAUGUAUAUUUUUACCUUGUGUCUCUGCUUUAAUUACAUAUAUAUUUAUUUUUGCUAUUUCCAAAUUCUCUAAGUAUUUUUGGUUUUGUAAUUCCACACCAUCAUUAGUGAAUUGUAGCUCUAAUUUCCUUAAUGCCCUUCCUGAUCUUCUCUGUCAAAAUCUCCUGUUUUAAUCAGUUCUAUACGAAAUGAGCUACCCCCUGAAACUCAAUUGGAUUAAGCCUCUAAAACCCUAGAUGUUAUAUACGAGAUGAAAUCCUUUAAAUUUUAUGAAUGUGCCUGUGAUGAAUUAAUUUACACAUUUAUAUGCAUGAUUUUCAGUCUGAAACUUUUGAUAUGACAUUACAUCCAUCUCUGACCUGAGAUCAGCUUAAUUUCACCCCUGACUCUUUUUUGCUCCAGUCUUCUUACAUGCACCCUUUGCAUUACAUAUCUGUUUCCUUGGUCAAUUCAACUAUAAUGGCAUUUCUUUUCUCUGAAAGCUAAUGUUUUAUCUCCCCCUCACAUAAAAAUUCUUUCUUACAGCUGUUAUUUAUUUAAAUAAACUAGUUUCUGGAGAACAGUGACCUGAUUUAUCCUAGUCUGUAUUGUCCAAAAACAUUACAUUCAAAGGUAUUUGAUUCAGUUUUUUGGAUAAAAUAAAUCAGAAAAUGGAUCAUACCAUUUUUGCUGCUUUCCAUGUAUUUGCUAUUAUAUUAGAAGUUCUACACGGGUGUGGGUUCCAUAGCUUUUUUCCCCUAUGCCUACACGAUGUCAUAAUCUUUUAAAAAAUAAAUAUAUUAAUGGGUGUAACAUACAUGUUGAACAUAUUUAAAAUAAAUCUUCAAUAUACACCUCCACAAAUUAUAACAGAUUGAGUACAAUGAUGUGUUAUCUAAGAAAAUAAAUAAAAUUUACCAACAUUUCCGAAGCUCACCUUGUAAAAAGCAAAACUACUUUGUUCUACCCAAAAGUAGCCACUUCCCAGACUUAACACAAUGGACUAGAUUUGUCUAUCUGCAGUCUUUGUGUAUAUGAAAUAUUGCCUAUUUUGGGUUCUGGCUUAUUUUACUCAUUAUCAUAUUCAUGAGAUUCAUCAAUAUUUUUGCAGUUGAAGUUGUGAAUUAAUUUUCAUUCCUAUGUAGUAUAUCAUUUUAUGAGUUUACUUCAAUUUACAUAUACAUUCGUCUGUUGAUAAGCAUUGACUUUGUUCCAGAUUUCGUCACUAUGAAAAGUUAUUGUUAAGGGUACUUGGAUAAGUGUUUUCAUAGACAGGUGUACACAUUUCCUUAAAUAUAUGAUUAAGCAUGUAAUUAUUAGAUUAUUGAGUUAUGUUCAUGUUGAUGUUUAUGAGGUUUCCACUGCUUUCACCAGCAGUGUAUGAGAGUUUUGGGUGCUUUACAUCCUUGUCAGAGAUUAGUAUUGUCAGUCAUUUCUUUUCUCUUUCUGGGUAAAAUGUAGUUAUAUCUGUGUAGUUUUUAUUUACAAUUCUCUUAUGAAUAAUGAUUGAGCAUCUUAAAGUUUUUGUUUAGCUAUUUUUCCUUUGCUAACUGAUUUCUAGAAAUUCUAGAUAUAUGUCAAUUUUCAUACAUUUUCCAGAUAUCUUCCUUCAGCCUGGCAUUUAUCAUUUCCCUCUCUCUCUUUUUUCUUUUCUUUUCUUUCCUUCUUCAGCUGCACCUGGGCUGGGGAUUGAAUUUGUGCCACUGCACAGAACAUGUUAAAUCCUUAACUCACAGCACCACAGUGAGAGCUCCUCUUUUUUUCUCUUAAUGAUGCUUUUUUUUUUUUGGCUAUACUCACAGCAUGCAAUAGUUCCCAGGCCAGUGAUUGAACACACACCACAGCAGUUACUGGGGCCAUAGAAGUGACAAUGCUGGAUCCUUAACCAUUAGACCACCAGGGAACUCCAACAAUGCCUUCCCAUUAAAAAUUUUCUAAUUUUAAAAUAGUCUAAAAUGUGAGUAUUUCCUUAUAGUUAGUAAUUUAUGUGUCAUGUUGAAAUCAACUUUACUUAUUCCAAGAUUCUGAAUUUUUUCUUAUGUGUUCUUCUAGAAACUUCAUUGUUUCUCUAUUCACAUUUAGAUUCACAGUUAAUCUGAAUUUAAUUUCUUUAUAUACUAUGAAGUAUGAAUAAAUAUUAAUCAAUGCAGCAUGAUUUAUUGCAAAGAAUAGCAUUUCCUCAGUCCUCUAUAUUGCCAUGCUGAUAUUGCUGAAAGGACUUCCAUUUCUUUCCAAGAUGGAACAGCAGCCAAAAUAAUUACUCUAUUACAUGAAAACAAUAACCAAAAAAUCUAUAUAUGAGAAAACAGUUUUUAAGACACUAGAUAUCAAGUAAUUAAAGAGAAUGAAACCCAAGGAAUGAGAAAUGAAUAAAGUGAGUCCUUCAAUUGCCUCAGAUCAAUAUUUUGAGGGAUUUUAAAACUCGGGAACAAGGAGAGAGAAUUCCAACAAAGCUCAGUGGACUUCCUGAAUUAAGGACUUAAACCAAAACUUGGAGUAGGACAAAGCAGCUCAGUUAAGUGCUGAUCAGUGGGCAUAUAUAAGGAAACAACCUUAAACUGAGAAAAAAACUAUGCAAACUAAUUAGAAGGAACAUUAAUCACCACUCAGGAGGGAUAGGAAUAUUGCCUGUUCCUACAAGCCAGGCUGGAAAACAUCAUACCCAAUGGAUCAUUGAGUAGAACACACAGAAGAGUCUUCCCUUAGUAAUAGAAACUAAUUAAUGCUAGAUUAAAUGUUGCCUUGUUUUCAACUAAACCUCCAAACAGAAACUGAAAGGAUCAAACAGAUUCAAAAUAAUUUAACUGUAUCCUAGAACUAAACCUAAGUUUAUUAAUAGAAAUACAAAAAUAUUCAGUACCCAACAAGGUAAAAUUCAUAUCUAGUUUCCAAUAAAAAUUUACAAAAUACACAAAUAACCAGUAAAAUAAGACCAAGUAUGAUAGAAAAAUCAAAACUAUUUCAGAAUUAAUGUAGACAUUAAAAUUAGAAGAAAAUUUUAACAAUUAUUAUAAUUGCAUCCUAUAUGCUCAAAAAUAAAGACAUUUAAAGUAUAAAAAUAUAAUCAACUUGUAUUUUUUAUUGCAAAAAAUUAGCAUCCAAGGUGAUUCACAUUUAAUAAUUAAUGGCAGAUUAGAUAUUGCAGGACAGAUGAUGAGUAAAUGUAAAAAGACAUGGCAAUAAAAACUCGCCAAAUUAAAAGCAAAGAGCAACAUUUACAAAAAAUAAUAUCAGUGAGCUAUUAGAAAAUUCCAGCAGACUAACUUAUGCAUAUUUCAACACCCUGAGGGAGGAAGUUGUUACAAAAAUUAUUUAAAGAAAUAAAGGCUAAGAACAUUCAAAAUUAUAUUUAAAACAACAACAGUAACAUUGCAGGUUUAAGAAACUCAAUGAAAUUAAAGCACAAGAAAUAGGAAGAAAAAUAUAAUAAGGCAUAUCACAAUCAAAUUGCUUACUAACAAAGGUAAAAAAAAGUCAAAAACAUUAAGAAAAAAUACAUAUAACACAUUAAACAAUAAUUAUAAACAUUAGCAUAGAUUUCUCAUUAGAAACAAUGCAGAUGUAAACAAAAUGUGGAGCCACACCUCUGAAGUACUGGAUAAAAAAAGAGCCAAUCUAGAAUUUUACGUCUAGCAAAAUUGUUGAAAGAAUUCACACCAAAUGAC